Molecule: long non-coding RNA, 283 nt
Filed under: Elaeis guineensis (African oil palm)
Lineage: Eukaryota; Viridiplantae; Streptophyta; Magnoliopsida; Arecales; Arecaceae
Description: long non-coding RNA (EGUI_LNC038170)
Source: RNAcentral
AGGUGUCUGAUCAAGGUCAGCCUAUGAUUGAUGUAAAGCUUCGAGUAGAACUCCUUAAACUUUGGGUUGUUGAAUUGCUGCUCACCAAUGAUGAUGGCAUGAUAAAGUCUAAAUAAUAAUAGACUUUCAGAUGAAGUCCUAGACCUUCUGCUCGAUGAUCUACGCUAAGGCUCAAUUUUGACCCACUUUAUAAAGUAAUUGAUUGGCAAUGAUGAGGAACUUUCUUUAUCCUGUUGCCUAUGAAAAGGGACUGAGGAUGUCGAUUCCCCAACUAAACAAAUGG